CUACGUGCCAGCAGCCGCGGUAAUACGUAGGUCCCGAGCGUUGUCCGGAUUUAUUGGGCGUAAAGCGAGCGCAGGCGGUUAGAUAAGUCUGAAGUUAAAGGCUGUGGCUCAACCAUAGUUCGCUUUGGAAACUGUCAAACUUGAGUGCAGAAGGGGAGAGUGGAAUUCCAUGUGUAGCGGUGAAAUGCGUAGAUAUAUGGAGGAACACCGGUGGCGAAAGCGGCUCUCUGGUCUGUAACUGACGCUGAGGCUCGAAAGCGUGGGGAGCGAACAGGAUUAGAUACCCUGGUAGUCCACGCCGUAAACGAUGAGUGCUAGGUGUUAGGCCCUUUCCGGGGCUUAGUGCCGCAGCUAACGCAUUAAGCACUCCGCCUGGGGAGUACGACCGCAAGGUUGAAACUCAAAGGAAUUGACGGGGGCCCGCACAAGCGGUGGAGCAUGUGGUUUAAUUCGAAGCAACGCGAAGAACCUUACCAGGUCUUGACAUCCCUCUGACCACUCUAGAGAUAGAGUUUUCUUCGGGACAGAGG
Molecule: ribosomal RNA, 530 nt
Filed under: uncultured bacterium
Lineage: Bacteria
Description: bacterial SSU rRNA
Rfam family: Bacterial small subunit ribosomal RNA
Source: RNAcentral